AGGAUUAACGCUGGCGGCGUGCCUAACACAUGCAAGUCGAACGAGGUAGCAAUACCUAGUGGCAGACGGGUGAGUAGCGCGUGGUCAACCUACCGUUGAGUGGGGGAUAACUAGCCGAAAGGUUAGCUAAUACCGCAUACGUCUCCGAGGGGCAUCCCUUGGUGAUAAAAGGAGCAAUCCGCUCGAUGACGGGACCGCGUCCCAUUAGCUAGUUGGUGGGGUAACGGCCUACCAAGGCAUCGAUGGGUAGCUGGUUUGAGAGAGCGACCAGCCACACAGGGACUGAGAUACGGCCCAGACUCCUACGGGAGGCAGCAGUGAGGAAUUUUCCGCAAUGGGCGAAAGCCUGACGGAGCGACGCCGCGUGUGGGAAGAAGGCCUUCGGGUCGUAAACCACUGUCGAAGGGGACGAUAAUGACGGUACCCUUGGAGGAAGCCCCGGCUAACUACGUGCCAGCAGCCGC
RNAcentral lists this ribosomal RNA (464 nucleotides) under uncultured bacterium. RNAcentral's name for it is "SSU rRNA". It matches the Rfam family "Bacterial small subunit ribosomal RNA", at positions 26 to 518 of the family's 1533-position model. The record is from RNAcentral.